GAAACACCAAGAGGAGCAGUAACUGGGCUUCUACUUUGAACACCAGGGCUCCCUGCUACCUGCUCAACCUCUUCCCCUUCUUCAACAGAAGCAACUUCAACUGGAGGUCUGCUACCAAGUGAAAGGAGUUCCGUAGCACUUUGCUGUUCUUGUGCCCUUGAAUUCAAUUCCUCACAAACCACACUUUGGGGCUUCCCAAGUGGCCCCAGAGGACUAGGGCGGUCCCUGAACCUGCGAUCUCGAUUGACAGGGGACCUUCCCUUCCUAGGGGAAGGAGGAAAGGCAUCCCCGUAAAGCGACUGAAGACAAUUUCUCUGGUACCCCUUUGCAGUUUUAAUAUUAACGCUACUUCCCACUCUUUUAAUACCUUUUGAUGGGGGAACUUCAGCAAGGCAAGCAUUCUUGAGAAUCGAUCGAAUAAGGCAGUUGUGAAGACGGAUAUUUUCCCUACCAAUAAUCUUAAUACAAAACUUAUCAAAUUCAGACUUUGUUAUCUUAAAGCUAAACAAUCUUGUCAGCUGAUCAAAGUACUUAUCUGCUCUUUUGUGCCCAAUCUUUUUAAUAAUCAAAGUUUUGAGCUCUAAAGUAUCGAUUCGAGUAUAGCUUUGAUUAGACAACAUCGUUUCACUUCCCCAAA
RNAcentral lists this unclassified non-coding RNA (637 nucleotides) under Hevea brasiliensis (rubber tree). Lineage: Eukaryota; Viridiplantae; Streptophyta; Magnoliopsida; Malpighiales; Euphorbiaceae. The record is from RNAcentral.